RNAcentral lists this ribosomal RNA (64 nucleotides) under Hypoxylon fragiforme. RNAcentral's name for it is "partial 18S ribosomal RNA". The record is from RNAcentral. Lineage: Eukaryota; Fungi; Ascomycota; Sordariomycetes; Xylariales; Hypoxylaceae.
GUUGGUGACCAGCGGAGGGAUCAUUAGAGGAAUACCCAAAACCUCCCAACCCCUGUGAACUUAC